Molecule: ribosomal RNA, 253 nt
Filed under: uncultured bacterium
Lineage: Bacteria
Description: partial 16S ribosomal RNA
Rfam family: Bacterial small subunit ribosomal RNA
Source: RNAcentral
UACAGAGGUCCCGAGCGUUGUUCGGAUUCACUGGGCGUAAAGGGUGCGUAGGUGGUGAGGUAAGUCGGAUGUGAAAUCUCCGGGCUCAACCCGGAAAUGGCAUUGGAAACUACCUUGCUGGAGGAUUUGAGGGGGGAUUGGAAUACUUGGUGUAGCAGUGAAAUGCGUAGAUAUCAAGUGGAACACCAGUGGCGAAGGCGAAUCCCUGGAAAAUACCUGACACUGAGGCACGAAAGCUAGGGGAGCGAACAGG